RNAcentral lists this unclassified non-coding RNA (27 nucleotides) under Mus musculus (house mouse). RNAcentral describes it as "oocyte_clustered_small_RNA10612". The record is from RNAcentral. Lineage: Eukaryota; Metazoa; Chordata; Mammalia; Rodentia; Muridae.
ACACCUCAUUAGCACUGUAAAGAUAAC